Molecule: ribosomal RNA, 340 nt
Filed under: uncultured bacterium
Lineage: Bacteria
Description: bacterial SSU rRNA
Rfam family: Bacterial small subunit ribosomal RNA
Source: RNAcentral
GAUUAACGCUAGCGGCAGGCCUAAUACAUGCAAGUCGAACGGCAGCGGGUGUAGCAAUACAUGCCGGCGAGUGGCGCACGGGUGCGUAACGCGUAUGCAAUCUACCUAUAACUGGGGAAUAGCCUUCCGAAAGGAAGAUUAAAACCGCAUAAUAUCACGAAGCGGCAUCGUUUUGUGAUCAAAACUCCGGUGGUUAUAGAUGAGCAUGCGUGACAUAGCUAGUUGGUGAGGUAACGGCUCACCAAGGCGACGAUGUCUAGGGGGUCUGAGAGGAUGACUCCCCCACACUGGUACUGAGACACGGACCAGACUCCUACGGGAGGCAGCAGUAAGGAAUAUU